RNAcentral lists this ribosomal RNA (351 nucleotides) under uncultured bacterium. RNAcentral describes it as "partial 16S ribosomal RNA". It matches the Rfam family "Bacterial small subunit ribosomal RNA", at positions 338 to 686 of the family's 1533-position model. The record is from RNAcentral.
CCUACGGGGGGCAGCAGUGAGGAAUAUUGGUCAAUGGACGAGAGUCUGAACCAGCCAAGUAGCGUGAAGGAUGACUGCCCUAUGGGUUGUAAACUUCUUUUAUAAAGGAAUAAAACGAGGCACGUGUGCCUUUUUGCAUGUACUUUAUGAAUAAGGAUCGGCUAACUCCGUGCCAGCAGCCGCGGUAAUACGGAGGCUCCGAGCUUUAUCCUGAUUUAUUGGGUUUAAGGGGAGCGUAGAUGGUUUGUUAAGUCAGUUGUGAAAGUUUGGGGACCAACCGUAAAAUUGCAAUUGAUACGGGCAGUAUUGAGUACAGUUUAGGUGGACGAAAUUAGGGGUGGAGCGGUGAAA